GUCCAAAGUGUUGAGUUCAGUUCCGGGCAUUCUCCCCGGUCCUGGUAAUUUAACUUUGGCACAGGAGAUGGCUGGAGUGCAGGGUUUGUUGGUGAAGUAGUCGUCUGCGCCAUUUUGCCCCACUCCUGCCUACAUGC
Molecule: small nucleolar RNA, 137 nt
Organism: Anguilla rostrata (American eel)
Lineage: Eukaryota; Metazoa; Chordata; Actinopteri; Anguilliformes; Anguillidae
Source: RefSeq, a predicted model, not a curated record